CACAUCUCUGAAACAAUCAACCACUCAGCUUCUCUCCCACUGUGGCUCUUCUGGAAUAAAUGAGGAAUGUAACAUACAGGUCAGUAAGAAAUGGGCUUCUCCCAUCACUGUCAAGUCGUAUGGUGACUUCUACAUUUAAAGCAGGCCUUAGAUCUCUGAUUGUGUCCUGUAAGAAAUUUCUUGAAGUAUACGGCAACCCUAAAUAUAAAAAAACAACUUUGUGUUUACACAAAAAGAUCUCAUUCUUGAAAUCCAUUCAGAAACAAGCUGGAAUGAUUUAAAGUGGACUAUGACUUGUGUUGGGAAAGCACCUAAGGAAGGGGAAGCUGCAUUCAGUGAAAAUUCUCUGUGUCUUACUGAUGGAGUCACAUCUUAUUGGGGCUAUCUGGCUCUGAUCAUUCAAGUGACUGAAACACGAAGCAGUGUUUGAGUAACUUGGUUUCUCAAAAAUCAGGUUAAUAAGGCUCUGGAAUUUGUUCUCUUGCCAGGUGU
This 492-nucleotide long non-coding RNA is filed under the name Zonotrichia albicollis (white-throated sparrow). RNAcentral describes it as "lncRNA (ENSZALG00000000236.1)". The record is from RNAcentral. Lineage: Eukaryota; Metazoa; Chordata; Aves; Passeriformes; Passerellidae.